This 855-nucleotide long non-coding RNA is filed under the name Lotus japonicus. RNAcentral's name for it is "long non-coding RNA (LJAP_LNC001350)". Lineage: Eukaryota; Viridiplantae; Streptophyta; Magnoliopsida; Fabales; Fabaceae. The record is from RNAcentral.
ACUGGGAGUGCAAGGAGAUCGAGUUCUGGGGUGAAAUGAGAAUGGAAUCCACCAGAGGUAGAAAAAGGUGAAAAACGCCACUAAAGUGGCGUGUGUGCGAGUGGUAUGAAAUAUGAACGAUUCGUCAAAAUGCUUGCAUCUGCGUGCGCCGGGAUUGGCUGCAGUUUCUGCUGCUGCUACUGCCUACUUGACAUUUGGUUCUAUCUCUGAUCACAAACACUGAUUCUGAAAAAGAAGAAGAACCCAUCCAACUUGCUUGCUUGUUAUCCAAAUCGCAACAACAGGCCUGUUUCUCUCUCUUCCACUCCCUUAUCUCCCUCGCUCGCAUUUACACAUUCAUUUCUUCUCUAAUUUAGGUUUUGAGAUUGUGAUUUUUUGUUAAUCGUUACUUGAUUAUAAUUGUUCAACUGCAUCUAUUGUUAAUUGAUUAAUUAAGAUUAUGAUGAGGCAAUGAUUUAGGGGAAAAACAAUUUAGGAUCAUGAUUGGCCACGCCCGUAAAGAACAAUUUGGUGCAUCAGCAAGUGAUUAAUAUUAUUUUAUAUAUGCAAUUGUCGUGUGGGGCGUAUGGCGCUGUUGAAGUUCUUGCAACUUGUGUGAUUGUCUUUAUGUCAAGUGUCAGGGUUUCUCUUUGUGGUGGAGUUCAGGAGUUGAAUUAUUAGGACGGUAUCAUUACCAAUUUGCCUCUCAGGUGUCUCAACUCUCAACCAAUAUUCUUACCUUUUGUAGAAUUACUGGUUAUUAUUAUUAACCAUUCAUCUGGGAGAGUUGUCUGGAAAAAAGACUAGUUCACACCUCAAAUAUACUAUUCGAAUUCGGGUUAGAUGCAGCUCUACCGCAAAAGCUAGUUUAGAGGC